UUUCAAUGAUGCGGCUUCCAAAUCGACGAUCGGCUCCGUUAGACUUGAUCUACACUAUUAAAAAUAUUUGGAAACUAAAUUUCAUAAUUUUUCGACAUCAUUUAAUUAACUAGUGAUCAAAAGGUCUCAAAAUUGAUAAUUUUAAUGGUAGAUAUGAUGCGUUUGUGAAUUUAACGGUGUAAAACAAUCCAAAUCUGAUGAAAUUUUUAUAGAAAAUUCUUUUCACUAUUUAAAGUAAGAUCAGUAUCCCUGAUCUUAAAUUCAAGUUUUUUAUCAUUAUGUUUUAGGAGAUUUUUAUUUUCAGCCGUUCAUUUUUAAACUACUCGUUUGUUAGGUAAAUGAUGCCGAAAAUUCAUGAAAUUAGUUUCCAAAUACUUUUAAUAGUGUAGAUCAAGUCUAACGGAGCCGAUCGUCGAUUUGGAAGCCGCAUCAUUGAAAACAACUUGGUAGCACGGAGGCCUCCGUGCCACCGAUAUAUAUUAUGCUACUACACUAUUGAUAAUCCCAAGCGCUUGGUGCUAUCGAGUUUUCGACCGUUGAAUGAAAAGAUGUGCAGUUAGGAUAAUAGUGGUCCCUUAAGUUUGAGUGGGUGGUUAAUUGAAUAGUAUAAUCUAAUGGGUGGAAAUGAUCAAAGGGUAGAUAUAAUGGCAGAAAACUUGAUAGUACCAAGAGCUUGGUAUUAUCGAUAGUAUAGUAGACAGA
This 702-nucleotide long non-coding RNA is filed under the name Ananas comosus (pineapple). RNAcentral describes it as "long non-coding RNA (ACOM_LNC004975)". The record is from RNAcentral. Lineage: Eukaryota; Viridiplantae; Streptophyta; Magnoliopsida; Poales; Bromeliaceae.